AUGCAGGUUGACUCUCUGAACCGCGUCACCGUGUUUCCUGUUCCAUCCCCCGACUCUGCAGCUCUGGGUGAGACCUUUUCCAGAGAGCAGCCAAGUCUCCUGAGAGCUCUGCCCGAUCCGGCCCGGGAUGAUAUUGCGGCUCAGCAUCGUGUCCUUUCUGUGCCUUCUCAGAGUAAUGUUUUGGUACAACUCUGUAUUGCUGUGUACACUGACUCUCCCGGGACAAACGUGAUAGUAGAUCCAAACCACCCCCCAACUUCUCAGCCUUCCCUCGUGAUUUUGAAAUCUGAAGACUCCAGUGGCUCUACCGCUUGCAUAGCAAAGGAUUUCUACCCUCCCGAACUGAAGAUCUCCAUGAAUGCCGGCAGCCCAGUUCUGUAUGAAACCACUGAGCCUGUCCUCUCAUCGGGAAAAUACCACGCCGUGAAGGUUAUCAACGUUACAGCGAAAAAAGACGUGCAUUGCUCGGUUCAACACCACAACCAAAAGUUUAAUACAAUCCUAGAGUCAAAGAGGCCACCAGCUUUAACAACUCCUGGACCGACCACAGGCUCCGUUGAGGUCUGCGGAUCUUCAGUUCCCGGCCUCCAAGAUGAAGACACGGAGAAAACGAACACGCUGUCUGUCACUGUGCUGAGUGUGAGGGUGUUGCUAACGAAAAGCAUCGCCUUGAAUAUAUGA
Molecule: non-coding RNA, 681 nt
Organism: Pelodiscus sinensis (Chinese soft-shelled turtle)
Lineage: Eukaryota; Metazoa; Chordata; Testudines; Trionychidae
Source: the annotation of a RefSeq genome assembly